Long non-coding RNA from Brassica napus (rape), 222 nucleotides. RefSeq lists it as uncharacterized. The transcript has 4 exons. The record is from RefSeq and is a predicted model, not a curated record. NCBI's taxonomy places the organism in Eukaryota, Viridiplantae, Streptophyta, Magnoliopsida, Brassicales, Brassicaceae.
CUCACGCCUUACAUUCAGACCCUUGGAAUAUCGCACGCUUUUUCUUCUUUUAUUUGGCUCUGCGGCCCUAUUACAGGCCUUGUGGUCCAGCCUUGUGUUGGUAUUUGGAGUGAUAAAUGUACUUCGAAGUAUGGAGAAGACGACCGUUUAUUCUCGUGGGAUCACUCAUGAUCUCAAUAGCAACAUUGGGUAUCUUUUAGGAGAUACAAAGGAACAUUGCAG